CAACCUGCCUAUAACUAGGGAAUAACCUUGCGAAAGUAAGACUAAUACCCUAUGAUUUCCUUUGAUGACAUCAGAUUAGGAAUAAAGAUUUAUCGGUUAUAGAUGGGGAUGCGUCUGAUUAGCUUGUUGGCGGGGUAACGGCCCACCAAGGCAACGAUCAGUAGGGGUUCUGAGAGGAAGGUCCCCCACAUUGGAACUGAGACACAGUCCAAACUCCUACGGGAGGCAGCAGUGAGGAAUAUUGGUCAAUGGGCGGAAGCCUGAACCAGCCAAGUAGCGUGCAGGAUGACGGCCCUAUGGGUUGUAAACUGCUUUUAUACAGGAAUAAAGUUAGCCACGUGUGGUUAUUUGUAGGUACUGUAUGAAUAAGGACCGGCUAAUUCCGUGCCAGCAGCCGCGGUAAUACGGAAGGUCCAGGCGUUAUCCGGAUUUAUUGGGUUUAAAGGGAGCGUAGGCCGUCUGUUAAGCGUGUUGUGAAAUGUAGAUGCUCAACAUCUGAAUUGCAGCGCGAACUGGCAGACUUGAGUGUGCGCAACGUAGGCGGAAUUCGUGGUGUAGCGGUGAAAUGCUUAGAUAUCACGAAGAACUCCGAUUG
This 595-nucleotide ribosomal RNA is filed under the name uncultured Bacteroidota bacterium. Its description in RNAcentral is "bacterial SSU rRNA". It matches the Rfam family "Bacterial small subunit ribosomal RNA", at positions 122 to 715 of the family's 1533-position model. Lineage: Bacteria; Pseudomonadati; Bacteroidota. The record is from RNAcentral.